RNAcentral lists this ribosomal RNA (449 nucleotides) under uncultured bacterium. RNAcentral's name for it is "partial 16S ribosomal RNA". It matches the Rfam family "Bacterial small subunit ribosomal RNA", at positions 29 to 523 of the family's 1533-position model. The record is from RNAcentral.
AACGAACGCUGGCGGCAGGCUUAACACAUGCAAGUCGAACGCAUCCUUCGGGGUGAGUGGCAGACGGAUGAGUAGCGCGUGGGAACGUGCCCUUCAGUUCGGGAUAACCCAGGGAAACUUGGGCUAAUACCGGAUACGUGCGAGAGCAGAAAGAUUUAUCGCUGAAGGAUCGGCCCGCGUCUGAUUAGCUAGUUGGUGGGGUAAUGGCCCACCAAGGCGACGAUCAGUAGCUGGUCUGAGAGGAUGAUCAGCCACAUUGGGACUGAGACACGGCCCAAACUCCUACGGGAGGCAGCAGUGGGGAAUAUUGGACAAUGGGCGCAAGCUUGAUCCAGCCAUGCCGCGUGAGUGAUGAAGGCCUUAGGGUUGUAAAGCUCUUUCAGUGGGGACGAUAAUGACGGUACCCGCAGAAGAAGCCCCGGCUAACUACGUGCCAGCCGCCGCAGUAA